Molecule: ribosomal RNA, 253 nt
Filed under: Phocaeicola plebeius DSM 17135
Lineage: Bacteria; Pseudomonadati; Bacteroidota; Bacteroidia; Bacteroidales; Bacteroidaceae
Description: partial 16S ribosomal RNA
Rfam family: Bacterial small subunit ribosomal RNA
Source: RNAcentral
UACGGAGGAUGCGAGCGUUAUUCGGAUUUAUUGGGUUUAAAGGGAGCGCAGACGGGUCGUUAAGUCAGCUGUGAAAGUUUGGGGCUCAACCUUAAAAUUGCAGUUGAUACUGGCGUCCUUGAGUGCGGUUGAGGUGUGCGGAAUUCGUGGUGUAGCGGUGAAAUGCUUAGAUAUCACGAAGAACUCCGAUUGCGAAGGCAGCACACUAAUCCGUAACUGACGUUCAUGCUCGAAAGUGUGGGUAUCAAACAGG